Molecule: ribosomal RNA, 468 nt
Filed under: uncultured bacterium
Lineage: Bacteria
Description: partial 16S ribosomal RNA
Rfam family: Bacterial small subunit ribosomal RNA
Source: RNAcentral
GACGAACGCUGGCGGCGUGCUUAACACAUGCAAGUCGAACGGAAAGGCCCUGCUUUUGUGGGGUGCUCGAGUGGCGAACGGGUGCGUAACACGUGAGUAACCUGCCCUUGACUUUGGGAUAACUUCAGGAAACUGGGGCUAAUACCGGAUAGGAGCUCCUGCUGCAUGGUGGGGGUUGGAACGUUUCGGCGGUUGGGGAUGGACUCGCGGCUUAUCAGCUUGUUGGUGGGGUAGUGGCUUACCCAGGCUUUGACGGGUAGCCGGCCUGAGAGGGUGACCGGCCACAAUGGGACUGAGAUACGGCGCAGACUCGUACGGGAGGCAGCAGGGGGGAAUAUUGCACAAUGGGCGGAAGCCUGAUGCAGCAACGCCGCGUGCGGGAUGACGGCCUUCGGGUUGUAAACCGCUUUCGCCUGUGACGAAGCGUGAGUGACGGUAAUGGGUAAAGAAGCACCGGCUAACUACGUG